AACGCGAAGAACCUUACCUGGUCUUGACAUCCACGGAAGUUUACAGAGAUGAGAAUGUGCCUUCGGGAACCGUGAGACAGGUGCUGCAUGGCUGUCGUCAGCUCGUGUUGUGAAAUGUUGGGUUAAGUCCCGCAACGAGCGCAACCCUUAUCCUUUGUUGCCAGCGGUCCGGCCGGGAACUCAAAGGAGACUGCCAGUGAUAAACUGGAGGAAGGUGGGGAUGACGUCAAGUCAUCAUGGCCCUUACGACCAGGGCUACACACGUGCUACAAUGGCGCAUACAAAGAGAAGCGACCUCGCGAGAGCAAGCGGACCUCAUAAAGUGCGUCGUAGUCCGGAUUGGAGUCUGCAACUCGACUCCAUGAAGUCGGAAUCGCUAGUAAUCGUGGAUCAGAAUGCCACGGUAAAUACGUUCCCGGGCCUUGUACACACCG
This 434-nucleotide ribosomal RNA is filed under the name uncultured bacterium. RNAcentral describes it as "bacterial SSU rRNA". It matches the Rfam family "Bacterial small subunit ribosomal RNA", at positions 958 to 1392 of the family's 1533-position model. The record is from RNAcentral.